Long non-coding RNA from Perca fluviatilis (European perch), 1690 nucleotides. RefSeq lists it as uncharacterized. The record is from RefSeq and is a predicted model, not a curated record. The transcript has 4 exons. Lineage: Eukaryota; Metazoa; Chordata; Actinopteri; Perciformes; Percidae.
GCAGGGCGAGCUAGCUACCAGCAGGAUAGAGACAGGACUGAGAUGUGCUCCUGCAGUGCACACUGCCAAGACCUGCUCAAGCCACGGUCCGCAGUGUCCAGCCUUUGACCACAAGAGCCAUCAAAUCCAGAGAGGAUAGGAUGUGCCACACAAUUCUCCCAGACAAGUUAUAUUCAUCACAAUUAGACUGACAUUUGUUCUUCAGUCUGGAUGGAAACCACAUCAGGAAACACAGUAUAAGAUGGAGGAAGAAUACAAGGGAAAAGGAAGAGGAGGGAGUAGGAGGAGAAGAGGGUAAAGAUGGUCGUCGGCCAAUCCCUGCUCAGUCUCUGUAACUUGGUUGAUUACGAUCAAUUUCCCUGAUAUCGAUGGCCUCCCUGGCCCUGAGCUACACUCCCUCCUGCACUUUGCAUGGUACGUGCUUUGUGUACCAUGACAUGACUCACUCCAGCACACCAUUCCCAAACCCUGACUCUCCCACCUGCAGUCCCCUGAUCCUGGCCUAUCAACAGCUGGGUAACAGGAGGGAUAUAUCCUAGCAAUCACAAAAAACAAAUGUUUCCACUUCCAUGUUCUCAAAGUGGUUAAAAUUUGGGUUAUUGCAGUAUAUUUAAUUGAUUGGCUUCUGAGCGUGUUAGGGUUAAAAAGUUUGGGUGGUGUUACUGCAGCAGUGCAGGUGGAAGGGAGAUUUUUUUCUUUCUUUCAGGGCUGCUGAAGGAUUGAACUCUCGCUUAAAAACUCAGAGAGACAUGGUGGAAAUGAUGAGAUGAAGUUUGGUCACGACGUGCUGGACCGAAAGCCUCAAAAUCUGUAUUUGUUCUGGGGAAUGUGAAACUGUCCUCCCUCCGGCAUGUGCGAGGGCGCAUCCCGCUCGUUCUAUCUCUGCACACUUGGCACGGUCUAUCCGAAUUAAUUGCAUCUCUGCAAGGGAGAGAGCGAGAUGGAUAGAGGGAGAGAGAGAAAGGUUUAGUCCUUCUGUUGGGCUGGUCCUGCUACAAGGGGAGUCAUUUAAAAUUCUGCCUCCCAUGUGGCUCCUGGUUUUCACUUUAAUGACCCCCCCCCAUCCUCUCCCCCUGCUUUUUACCCCAUGACUUUCCUGGGUUUUGAGCUGCAAGCUCAGUUUCCUAUUGCUGCACGGUGCUGAUGCAAACCUUAUUCCUGCAUGUAUACAAAUAAAUAAUGCUUGUUUAUUGACCAGCAUCAAAGCCAUUAGUGACAAAAUGUUGUUUGCACCUUCUGUCUCUCCCCCUAUGCCUUUUUGUUGCUUCCUCCCCCCCUCCACCUCCGUAAUCAACCAUUGCUGCCAUCAAUGAUCCAACUCUCUGCUACCUAUUCUUGCUUGCCAAUUACUGUGUGAGCAGUGAGUACCACCUUUUUUCUGGGAAAAUGGCCGCUACACCUGUUGUCAAGCAAAAGAUCUUUCAAUUAGAAUGCUGUAAAAAAAAGUAUUGCUUUGUUUUGGAAAAGAUUAAAAUCUUUAGUUUUUCCUUUUGUUGACAGUGGGAACAAAUGUAUCUACUAGGUAAUAAUUCAUAAGGUCAGGAUCAUAACAAAUAUAUUGACCUAUCCUGAGGAUUUUAGAGGUCCAGGUCUACAUAUGGAAUUGGAACCUGACGGCUUCACUUUGAGGAACAGACCUCUGUAUGUGUGUGUGUGUGUGUGUGUGUGUGUGUGUGUGUGUGUGUGUGUG